GGGUCGGUAGCUCAGUCGGUAGAGCAGCGGACUUUUAAUCCGUUGGUCGUGGGUUCGAAUCCCGCCCGACCCACCA
This 76-nucleotide transfer RNA is filed under the name Candidatus Methylopumilus planktonicus. Its description in RNAcentral is "tRNA-Lys". It matches the Rfam family "tRNA". From Rfam's summary of the family: Transfer RNA (tRNA) molecules are approximately 80 nucleotides in length. Lineage: Bacteria; Pseudomonadati; Pseudomonadota; Betaproteobacteria; Nitrosomonadales; Methylophilaceae. The record is from RNAcentral. RNAcentral also lists the same sequence under 11 other names.